GUAGGGGGCAAGCGUUAUCCGGAUUUACUGGGUGUAAAGGGAGCGUAGACGGCAGAGCAAGUCUGAAGUGAAAGCCCGCAGCUCAACUGCGGGACUGCUUUUGAAACUGCCAGGCUAGAGUGUCGGAGAGGUAAGUGGAAUUCCUAGUGUAGCGGUGAAAUGCGUAGAUAUUAGGAGGAACACCAGUGGCGAAGGCGGCUUACUGGACGAUGACUGACGCUGAGGCUCGAAAGCGUGGGGAGCAA
RNAcentral lists this ribosomal RNA (245 nucleotides) under uncultured bacterium. RNAcentral's name for it is "partial 16S ribosomal RNA". It matches the Rfam family "Bacterial small subunit ribosomal RNA", at positions 527 to 771 of the family's 1533-position model. The record is from RNAcentral.